AAUGAACGCUGGCGGCAGGCCUAACACAUGCAAGUCGAACGGAUCCUUCGGGAUUAGUGGCGGACGGGUGAGUAACGCGUGGGAACAUACCCAAAGGUACGGAAUAGCCUCGGGAAACUGGGAGUAAUACCGUAUGUGCUCGAAAGAGGAAUGAUUUAUCGCCUUUGGAUUGGCCCGCGUUGGAUUAGGUAGUUGGUGGGUUAAUGGCCUACCAAGCCGACGAUCCAUAGCUGGUUUGAGAGGAUGAUCAGCCACACUGGGACUGAGACACGGCCCAGACUCCUACGGGAGGCAGCAGUGGGGAAUCUUAGACAAUGGGGGAAACCCUGAUCUAGCCAUGCCGCGUGAUCGAUGAAGGCCUUAGGGUUGUAAAGAUCUUUCAGGUGGGAAGAUAAUGACUGUACCACCAGAAGAAGCCCCGGCUAACUCCGUGCCAGCCGCCGCAGUAA
This 449-nucleotide ribosomal RNA is filed under the name uncultured bacterium. RNAcentral's name for it is "partial 16S ribosomal RNA". It matches the Rfam family "Bacterial small subunit ribosomal RNA", at positions 29 to 523 of the family's 1533-position model. The record is from RNAcentral.